GAUGAACGCUAGCGGCAGGCUUAAUACAUGCAAGUCGAGGGGCAGCAGCUUUGUAGCAAUACAGAGGCCGGCGACCGGCAAACGGGUGCGGAACACGUACAGAACCUUCCUUUCAGCGGGGAAUAGCCCGGGGAAACCCGGAUUAAUACCCCAUAGUAUGGUGGAGAGGCAUCUCUCUAUUAUUAAAGAUUUAUCACUGAAAGAUGGCUGUGCGGCUGAUUAGAAGUUGGCGGGGUAACGGGCCCACCAAGUCUGCGAUCAGUAACUGGUGUGAGAGCACGACCAGUCACACGGGCACUGAGGACACGGGCCCGACUCCUACGGGAGGCAGCAGUAAGGAAUAUUGGUCAAU
This 352-nucleotide ribosomal RNA is filed under the name uncultured bacterium. RNAcentral's name for it is "bacterial SSU rRNA". It matches the Rfam family "Bacterial small subunit ribosomal RNA", at positions 28 to 372 of the family's 1533-position model. The record is from RNAcentral.